GACGAACGCUGGCGGCAUGCCUAAUACAUGCAAGUCGAGCGAACAGAUGAAGUGCUUGCACUUCUGACGUUAGCGGCGAACGGGUGAGUAACACGUAAGGAAUCUACCUAUAAGCGGGGGAUAACAUUCGGAAACGGGUGCUAAUACCGCAUAAUAUCUUCUUCCGCAUGGAAGAAGAUUGAAAGACGGCUCUGCUGUCACUUAUAGAUGACCUUGCGGUGCAUUAGUUAGUUGGUGGGGUAAUGGCCUACCAAGACGAUGAUGCAUAGCCGACCUGAGAGAGUGAUCGGCCACAUUGGGACUGAGACACGGCCCAAACGCCUACGGGAGGCAGCAGUAGGGAAUCUUCCGCAAUGGGCGAAAGCCUGACGGAGCAAUGCCGCGUGAGUGAAGAAGGCCUUCGUGUCGUAAAACUCUGUUAUAAGAGAAGAACAAAUUGUAGAGUAACUGCUACAGUCUUGACGGUAUCUUAUCAGAAAGCCACGGCUAACUACGUGCCAGCCGCCGCCGUAA
Molecule: ribosomal RNA, 513 nt
Filed under: uncultured bacterium
Lineage: Bacteria
Description: partial 16S ribosomal RNA
Rfam family: Bacterial small subunit ribosomal RNA
Source: RNAcentral